AUGUUUCAAGACUAGCCAUGCACGUCUAGUACAAACUAAAUGAUGGUGAAACUGCAAAUGGCUCAUUACAACGGUUAUGAUGUACCCGGGAGUUCCGAUGGAUAUUUCCAGUAACACUAGAACUAAUACAUGUCCCUGCGUUUAUUAGUUUCGCACAGUCCGUCGCUGAGUCAUGGUAAACAGUUGAUCGACUCGACGUCCCGGAACAGUUUCCGCCCCAUCAGCUUCGAUGGUUGGGUAUUGGCCUACCAUUGCAACAACGGGUAACGAGGAAUUAGGGUUUGAUUUCGGAGAGGGAGCCUGAGAAACGGCUACCACAUCUACGGAUGGCAGCAGGCGCGCAAAUUACCCAAUGCAGACACUGUGAGGUUAAUCAGCAGUCGGCGUCUUAAGGGAUAGUCUCUUGUAACUGUGAGACUCCAACUAGGAAUGUCUCGUAAGCACAAGUCAACAUCUUGUGUUGAUUACGUCCCUGCUCUUUGUACACACCGCCCGUCGCU
This 500-nucleotide ribosomal RNA is filed under the name uncultured Myrionecta. RNAcentral's name for it is "partial 18S ribosomal RNA". It matches the Rfam family "Eukaryotic small subunit ribosomal RNA". Lineage: Eukaryota; Ciliophora; Litostomatea; Cyclotrichida; Mesodiniidae. The record is from RNAcentral.